UACGGAGGGGGCUAGCGUUGUUCGGAAUUACUGGGCGUAAAGCGCGCGUAGGCGGACCUGCAAGUCGGGGGUGAAAGCCCGAGGCUCAACCUCGGAACUGCCUUCGAUACUGCGGGUCUCGAGUCCGGGAGAGGUGAGUGGAAUUCCUAGUGUAGAGGUGAAAUUCUUAGAUAUUGGGUGGAACACCGGUGGCGAAAGCGGCUCACUGGCCCGGUUCUGACGCUGAGGCGCGAAAGCGUGGGGAGCAAACAGG
This 253-nucleotide ribosomal RNA is filed under the name uncultured bacterium. Its description in RNAcentral is "partial 16S ribosomal RNA". It matches the Rfam family "Bacterial small subunit ribosomal RNA", at positions 524 to 776 of the family's 1533-position model. The record is from RNAcentral.